This 597-nucleotide ribosomal RNA is filed under the name uncultured fungus. RNAcentral describes it as "eukaryotic LSU rRNA". The stretch from base 219 to 372 matches the Rfam family "5.8S ribosomal RNA". The record is from RNAcentral. Lineage: Eukaryota; Fungi.
UUCUUGGUCAUUUAGAGGAAGUAAAAGUCGUAACAAGGUCUCCGUUGGUGAACCAGCGGAGGGAUCAUUACCGAGUUUACAACUCCCAAACCCCUGUGAACAUACCACUUGUUGCCUCGGCGGAUCAGCCCGCUCCCGGUAAAACGGGACGGCCCGCCAGAGGACCCCUAAACUCUGUUUCUAUAUGUAACUUCUGAGUAAAACCAUAAAUAAAUCAAAACUUUCAACAACGGAUCUCUUGGUUCUGGCAUCGAUGAAGAACGCAGCAAAAUGCGAUAAGUAAUGUGAAUUGCAGAAUUCAGUGAAUCAUCGAAUCUUUGAACGCACAUUGCGCCCGCCAGUAUUCUGGCGGGCAUGCCUGUUCGAGCGUCAUUUCAACCCUCAAGCCCUCGGGUUUGGUGUUGGGGAUCGGCGAGCCCUUGCGGCAAGCCGGCCCCGAAAUCUAGUGGCGGUCUCGCUGCAGCCUCCAUUGCGUAGUAGUAAAACCCUCGCAACUGGAACGCGGCGCGGCCAAGCCGUUAAACCCCCAACUUCUGAAUGUUGACCUCGGAUCAGGUAGGAAUACCCGCUGAACUUAAGCAUAUCAAUAAGCGGAGG